AUCCUUGUGCACAGGCAAGAUCAACAGCAGUGAAGUUUAGUCUGAGCUCUGAUUUUUGCUAGUAGGAAACUACAACUAUAUCUACGCCCCCGGCUCGCUCCCCCCCCCGGUGGACCGGGAAAUUUUUUGAAAUUGUCACGAUAU
This 144-nucleotide small nuclear RNA is filed under the name Tuber melanosporum Mel28. Its description in RNAcentral is "U4 spliceosomal RNA". It matches the Rfam family "U4 spliceosomal RNA". Rfam says of the family: U4 small nuclear RNA (U4 snRNA) is a component of the major U2-dependent spliceosome. The record is from Rfam by way of RNAcentral. Lineage: Eukaryota; Fungi; Ascomycota; Pezizomycetes; Pezizales; Tuberaceae.